Molecule: regulatory RNA element, 67 nt
Organism: Corynebacterium epidermidicanis
Lineage: Bacteria; Bacillati; Actinomycetota; Actinomycetes; Mycobacteriales; Corynebacteriaceae
Rfam family: L31-Corynebacteriaceae ribosomal protein leader
Source: Rfam
ACUCAGGCACGAUCGGUAGUCCCAUUAAGUGCUACGCAGAAGCGACCUGAAGUUCAAUCCUGAGGGA